UAAAAGGGAACUACUGUCAGCUUGUCACCAAAUUGCUAAAGGAAUGGAGUAUUUAUCAACAAGGAAGUUUAUACAUAGGGACCUUGCCGCCAGAAAUUGCAUGAUGGACGAAUACAAUUUGCUAAAGGUUUCUGAUUUUGGUCUUUCGCAAGAGAUUUACGGUAAGACGUAUUUCCGUCAGGCCGAGGGAGAAGAGACUAAA
This is a long non-coding RNA of Amphimedon queenslandica, 202 nucleotides long. RefSeq lists it as uncharacterized. The record is from RefSeq and is a predicted model, not a curated record. The transcript has 2 exons. NCBI's taxonomy places the organism in Eukaryota, Metazoa, Porifera, Demospongiae, Haplosclerida, Niphatidae.